AUUCAUACAAUUUUAAUUUUUGAUUCAAUUUGCUACUCUUGAUUUUCUGCAAACAUGUCUAUAUGCAACAAAUUCUUUUUUUUUUGCUUUUGUGCAAUGUUGGUGGGCUCGGUCUUGAUUGGAGAUGCAAAUGCAAACAAAGUAAUUGGCAAAGGGGCUAUGGCAGCUAAUCGUGAACUUCCAUGCAAAGGAGGGAAUUGCCUGCCACAACCAUCAAAUCCUGAAAAUAGAGGCUGUGAAACUAUCGAGAGAUGUCGACACUCAUGAGAUUGGUCAUGCUUGAAAAGGCUUCAUUCCCAAUGUUCAUUGUGUAAAAAACUUCUUUAUAAUAAUUCUGGCUAUAUAUUUACGUAUAUGUUCGAGUUUGUAUCUAUGAUAUAUAUGUACUUUUAAACUUUGUAUCUAUGAUAUAUAUGUACUUUUAAACUUGAUUUGAUUCUUUGUAACUAUUUAAUUCUUCAAAUGUGUCUGUUGUAAGAAAUCCUUCUCUUUGGCUUAUGUGCAAUGAAGCAGUGAAGGAAUAUUCCUCCUCCAUGCUGAAAGAGGAGGUAGCCUACCACCUGUCCACCGCCAUGCUAAUCCACCACCAUGCAUCAAGUUGCUUAGGCCUAGAAGAGUACUUUUGCUCAAAUGUUGUUAACAAAUUUUCCUUUGCUAAUUGAUAUACAAUUUUAAUCAAUAAUAAUUGAAUAUUUCAAAUGACAUGAUGUUUAAA
RNAcentral lists this long non-coding RNA (715 nucleotides) under Theobroma cacao (cacao). RNAcentral describes it as "long non-coding RNA (TCAC_LNC001560)". The record is from RNAcentral. Lineage: Eukaryota; Viridiplantae; Streptophyta; Magnoliopsida; Malvales; Malvaceae.